RNAcentral lists this ribosomal RNA (338 nucleotides) under uncultured bacterium. Its description in RNAcentral is "bacterial SSU rRNA". It matches the Rfam family "Bacterial small subunit ribosomal RNA", at positions 29 to 361 of the family's 1533-position model. The record is from RNAcentral.
AGUGAACGCUGGCGGCAGGCCUAACACAUGCAAGUCGAACGGCAGCACAGGGGUAGCAAUACCCUGGGUGGCGAGUGGCGGACGGGUGAGGAAUACGUCGGAAUCUGCCUAUUUGUGGGGGAUAACGUAGGGAAACUUACGCUAAUACCGCAUACGACCUACGGGUGAAAGCGGAGGACCUUCGGCUUCGCGCAGAUAGAUGAGCCGACGUCGGAUUAGCUAGUUGGCGGGGUAAAGGCCCGACCAACGGCGACGAUCCGUAGCUGGUCUGAGAGGAUGAUCAGCCACACUGGAACUGAGACACGGUCCAGACUCCUACGGGAGGCAGCAGUGGGGAA